GACGAACGCUGGCGGCGUGCUUAACACAUGCCAGUCGAACGGAAAGGCCCUGCUUUUGUGGGGUGCUCGAGUGGCGAACGGGUGAGUAACACGUGAGUAACCUGCCCUUGACUUUGGGAUAACUUCAGGAAACUGGGGCUAAUACCGGAUAGGAGCUCCUGCUGCAUGGUGGGGGUUGGAAAGUUUCGGCGGUUGGGGAUGGACUCGCGGCUUAUCAGCUUGUUGGUGGGGUAGUGGCUUACCAAGGCUUUGACGGGUAGCCGGCCUGAGAGGGUGACCGGCCACAUUGGGACUGAGAUACGGCCCAGACUCCUACGGGAGGCAGCAGUGGGGAAUAUUGCACAAUGGGCGGAAGCCUAAUGCAGCAACGCCGCGUGCGGGAUGACGGCCUUCGGGUUGUAAACCGCUUUCGCCUGUGACGAAGCGUGAGUGACGGUAAUGGGUAAAGAAGCACCGGCUAACUACGUG
This 468-nucleotide ribosomal RNA is filed under the name uncultured bacterium. RNAcentral describes it as "partial 16S ribosomal RNA". It matches the Rfam family "Bacterial small subunit ribosomal RNA", at positions 28 to 507 of the family's 1533-position model. The record is from RNAcentral.